UUGCUCUUGAGUUCCUAGCCACACCAGUCUUAAUUUCCUUCAUCCCAUUCUCCAUGCGCCACAACAUGGGGACCAAUCAGCUGAAUAUGUAGACUUUCAUUAGAAAACAGAACUCAACCCCACUUUACUCUUUUGUGUUCCAUGUGCCUAACAAGGAUUACACAAAGAAAUCAUAGUGGUGAUUCUUAACUCAAAACUACACAUAGCUAGCUCUUCCUCACCAGCGUGAGCUAUGAUGACAUCUUCACCCAUCUCUUCAAGUCGUGUGACAGCCUAGAAGGAGAGUACCCUCUUCACCCUUGUUCGGCCUUGCAUGCUGAAAGUAAGGAGCAUGAAGCUUAAAUAAAAUUCUUGUCCCUCUUGUCCAGCCGUGAACCAUAUCAAGAAAGAAUAAUGGACUGCAUGUUAAAUUCCUUCCAAAAAUCUGCACCAAAUCCGUGAGCUCGUAGAAGAGGAACAUCAAGAUGGAUGGUACAUUUUCUUCUGUCCAUUUUUCCCCAACACCGUGAGCACCCUUGAAGGAUGACCAAAGCUUUCAAGCACAUGCUGCUCCUAUUUCCCUGUUCGGUUGUGUAUCUAUAAUCAAGGAGGUGAGAUGAUUUUUCGUUGCCUUUUGUUCGUUCAUACUUGGACGGGUUUUGAUUAAGUUUUCCCCUUUUUCUGGAGCAUUGUUUUCCCUUGAGUGAGUCGCUGCCCUUUGCAUGCAACUGGUUUCAACUCCUUGGAAAAGUGGAGAGUGAGGUACUGCCCUCCACACGCAUAGAUAACCCUUGGAUGCAGCCUAGAAGGUGUGCUAACUUCUAAAAGUGUGGGCUGAUUGGUGAUGCUUUGAUAAAAUAAAAUGUUAAAGACUCGAGGAGGACGUAAAAGCUUUUGAGGACUUGGAUAUUUGCUGUUGGUUUCUUCUAUUGGGCAUGCUGCUGUGAUUGUAUUAUUUUCAUGGAUGACUGUACUAAUUGUGGAUGUUUAAAUUAUUAGUGAACUAUGUUUGCAUUCU
Gastrolobium bilobum is the source of this 997-nucleotide long non-coding RNA. RefSeq lists it as uncharacterized. The transcript has 3 exons. The record is from RefSeq and is a predicted model, not a curated record. Lineage: Eukaryota; Viridiplantae; Streptophyta; Magnoliopsida; Fabales; Fabaceae.